AUCAGGGGUAAACCUGUGGAACUCGAACGAACGAACGGGGAGAUUCACCGUAUUUCCGCUCGGGGUCCGCGGCGCGGUCGUUAACCGCGGUCGUUGCGUCGUCUCGCGCGGCGUUCACGAUCGUGGCGAUCGCGUCGUAGCACGGCCCUCGGAGUGCGUGCACUUCUCCCUCAGUAAAACACCGCGACCCGUUCGGCAAGUCGCGGGAUCGAACCCGUCGUGCGGUUGACCCGUUUCGAACUCAACAUUCGGAGCGGAGCCGCGGCGUGGUGAUCUCGGACGGACGGUAACAAACUAGGUUCGCUUCCGCCGUUUCGACGGCGUCCGUAUUCCGAACCGGAUCGGUCCCGUGCGGACCUCGACGUCUCCGUGCGUCGCGGGCUCCGCACGCGGUCUGCCGGUCCGUCGCGUCGGAAUCUCUCGGACGGGAAGCGUCCCGGUCGGCGGUGGUUUUGUUUCGGGCACUCACAGGACCC
This 476-nucleotide ribosomal RNA is filed under the name Macrostemum alienum. Its description in RNAcentral is "partial large subunit ribosomal RNA". Lineage: Eukaryota; Metazoa; Arthropoda; Insecta; Trichoptera; Hydropsychidae. The record is from RNAcentral.